ACCUGGUUAACUCAGCUGGUUAGAGUGUCGUACUAAUACAAAUUUCCACUUGUAUCUUGUAAUGCGAAAGUCGGCGGUUCAAUCCCGCCACUGGGUA
The sequence is a transfer RNA, 97 nucleotides long. It matches the Rfam family "tRNA". From Rfam's summary of the family: Transfer RNA (tRNA) molecules are approximately 80 nucleotides in length. Their secondary structure includes four short double-helical elements and three loops (D, anti-codon, and T loops).